Molecule: ribosomal RNA, 1347 nt
Filed under: uncultured bacterium
Lineage: Bacteria
Description: bacterial SSU rRNA
Rfam family: Bacterial small subunit ribosomal RNA
Source: RNAcentral
GACGAACGCUGGCUGCGUGCUUAACACAUGCAAGUCGAACGCUGAAGCCUGGUGCUUGCACCGGGUGGAUGAGUGGCGAACGGGUGAGUAACACGUGAGUAACCUGCCCCUGACUUCGGGAUAAGCCCGGGAAACUGGGUCUAAUACCGGAUACGACUGCCGGACGCAUGUCUGGUGGUGGAAAGUUUUUUCGGUUGGGGAUGGGCUCGCGGCCUAUCAGUUUGUUGGUGAGGUAAUGGCUCACCAAGACGACGACGGGUAGCCGGCCUGAGAGGGCGACCGGCCACACUGGGACUGAGACACGGCCCAGACUCCUACGGGAGGCAGCAGUGGGGAAUAUUGCACAAUGGGGGAAACCCUGAUGCAGCGACGCAGCGUGCGGGAUGACGGCCUUCGGGUUGUAAACCGCUUUCAGCAGGGAAGAAGCGCAAGUGACGGUACCUGCAGAAGAAGUACCGGCUAACUACGUGCCAGCAGCCGCGGUAAUACGUAGGGUACGAGCGUUGUCCGGAAUUAUUGGGCGUAAAGAGCUCGUAGGUGGUUGGUCACGUCUGCUGUGGAAACGCAACGCUUAACGUUGCGCGUGCAGUGGGUACGGGCUGACUAGAGUGCAGUAGGGGAGUCUGGAAUUCCUGGUGUAGCGGUGAAAUGCGCAGAUAUCAGGAGGAACACCGGUGGCGAAGGCGGGACUCUGGGCUGUAACUGACACUGAGGAGCGAAGGCAUGGGGAGCGAACAGGAUUAGAUACCCUGGUAGUCCAUGCCGUAAACGUUGGGCACUAGGUGUGGGGGGCAUUCCACGUUCUCCGCGCCGUAGCUAACGCAUUAAGUGCCCCGCCUGGGGAGUACGGUCGCAAGGCUAAAACUCAAAGGAAUUGACGGGGGCCCGCACAAGCGGCGGAGCAUGCGGAUUAAUUCGAUGCAACGCGAAGAACCUUACCAAGGCUUGACAUACACCGGACCGUCCUGGAAACAGGUCCUCUUCUUUGAAGCUGGUGUACAGGUGGUGCAUGGUUGUCGUCAGCUCGUGUCGUGAGAUGUUGGGUUAAGUCCCGCAACGAGCGCAACCCUCGUUCUAUGUUGCCAGCACGUGAUGGUGGGAACUCAUAGGAGACUGCCGGGGUCAACUCGGAGGAAGGUGGGGAUGACGUCAAAUCAUCAUGCCCUUUAUGUCUUGGGCUUCACGCAUGCUACAAUGGCUGGUACAGAGAGAGGCGAACCCGUGAGGGCAAGCGAAUCCCUUAAAGCCAGUCUCAGUUCGGAUCGUAGUCUGCAAUUCGACUACGUGAAGUCGGAGUCGCUAGUAAUCGCAGAUCAGCAACGCUGCGGUGAAUACGUUCCCGGGCCU